RNAcentral lists this transfer RNA (72 nucleotides) under Camelus bactrianus (Bactrian camel). It matches the Rfam family "tRNA". From Rfam's summary of the family: Transfer RNA (tRNA) molecules are approximately 80 nucleotides in length. Their secondary structure includes four short double-helical elements and three loops (D, anti-codon, and T loops). Lineage: Eukaryota; Metazoa; Chordata; Mammalia; Artiodactyla; Camelidae. RNAcentral also lists the same sequence under 2 other names. The record is from Rfam by way of RNAcentral.
GUGGGUAUAGCUCAGUGGUAGAGCACGUGCUUAGCAUGCACAAGGUCUUGGGUUCAAUUUCCUGUACCUCCA